AAGUCGUAACAAGGUUUCCGUAGGUGAACCUGCGGAAGGAUCAUUAACACGUAUCCAACGUUAAACCCCCUGUGAACCUUUAGUGUGCUCGCACAUCCCGUUUUUUGAAGUAGCAAUCCCUGGUAAAUCAUCGCCGAACAGUUUUGAUUCAGGGACUUCUGCGAAGCGAUGGAGCUUGUAGCGCGAGGCAAGUGGCCUGGCAUUCCUCUGCUGAAGUAGAUGUCUGAAAGUGGCAUUAGCCCUGCAAGAAUGGCGCAGUAAACGAUCGCUAGAGGCCGACACGGCCGGCGACCGGGUCACCGGGCUCACGCCCCCUAAUCACCUUUGCAUGAAAACGGGGAUGCGCUUAAUUGUGCUCCCACCAAACUUGAACAACUGUUAACAAUGGAUAUCUUGGUUCUC
Molecule: unclassified non-coding RNA, 402 nt
Filed under: fungal sp.
Lineage: Eukaryota; Fungi
Description: partial internal transcribed spacer region
Rfam family: Eukaryotic small subunit ribosomal RNA (bases 1-46)
Source: RNAcentral